GAUGAACGCUGGCGGCGUGCCUAACACAUGCAAGUCGAACGGAGCUGCUUUGAUGAAGUUUUCGGAUGGAUUUAAAACAGCUUAGUGGCGGACGGGUGAGUAACGCGUGGGUAACCUGCCUCACACUGGGGGAUAACAGUUGGAAACGACUGCUAAUACCGCAUAAGCCCACGGGUCGGCAUCGACCAGAGGGAAAAGGAGUAAUCCGCUUUGAGAUGGCCUCGCGUCCGAUUAGCUAGUUGGUGAGGUAAUGGCCCACCAAGGCGACGAUCGGUAGCCGGACUGAGAGGUUGAACGGCCACAUUGGGACUGAGACACGGCCCAGACUCCUACGGGAGGCAGCAGUGGGGAAUAUUGCACAAUGGGGGAAACCCGUACGAUAGCAGCGACGCCGCGUGGAGGAAGAAGUCUCGAUGUAAACUACUCGUUGUUGUAGG
This 437-nucleotide ribosomal RNA is filed under the name uncultured bacterium. RNAcentral describes it as "bacterial SSU rRNA". It matches the Rfam family "Bacterial small subunit ribosomal RNA", at positions 28 to 446 of the family's 1533-position model. The record is from RNAcentral.